Molecule: ribosomal RNA, 715 nt
Filed under: uncultured bacterium
Lineage: Bacteria
Description: bacterial SSU rRNA
Rfam family: Bacterial small subunit ribosomal RNA
Source: RNAcentral
AGAGUUUGAUCCUGGCUCAGGAUGAAUGCUGGCGGCGUGGAUGAGGCAUGCAAGUCGAAUGGGUUUAGGCCCAUGGCAGACGAGGUAGGAACACGUAGGUACGUACCCCAAAGUCAGGGAUAAUCCGCCGAAAGGCGGGAUAAUACUUGAUGGUCUCUUCGGAGUAAAGAUUUAUCGCUUUGGGAACGGCCUGCGGGCUAUCAGCUUGUUGGUAAGGUAACGGCUUACCAAGGCUACGACGGCUAGGGGAGGUGAGAGCCUGACCCCCACCGAUGGAACUGCGACACGGUCCAUACUCCUACGGGAGGCUGCAGUCGAGAAUCUUCCGCAAUGGACGAAAGUCUGACGGAGCGACGCCGCGUGGUGGAUGAAGUCCCUCGGGACGUAAACACCUUUUAUGAGGGAGGAAGUCAUUGACGUUACCUCAUGAAUAAGGGGCUCCUAACUCUGUGCCAGCAGGAGCGGUAAUACAGAGGCCCCAAGCAUUAUCCGGAUUUACUGGGCGUAAAGGGUGCGUAGGCGGUUAUAUUAGUCAGGUGUUAAAUCCUGGGGCUCAACCCCAGAAUCGCAUUUGAAACGGUAUAACUAGAAUAAGUCAGAGGCAAGCAGAACUCACGGUGUAGGGGUGAAAUCCGUUGAUAUCGUGGGGAAUACCAAAUGCGAAGGCAGCUUGCUGGGACUUUAUUGACGCUAAGGCACGAAAGCGUGGGUAGCG